AGGAAGCAGAAGGUUCCUUCUGAAGAGCAGUUGCUCUCUCAGAUUUGAGAAGCUGGAGAGAGAGGGCUGGUUAAGACCUUCUCCUGAGGGUUACCCACCUUUUUUCCUAUGCUGUUUCUUUGACCACCCACAAACCUUCUCCAUUACAAUACAUGGGAAUUGGAUCUAAUAUCUUGGUACCACCAAUAUCUUUAUGUCACCUUCAAGGAUGUCUGGUUUGCUGUCCAAAAAGUCUGCUUCACUAUCUUGUACCUGGACUCUUAGGAGAGAAAAAGGGGAAUUUUUGCUAGCCCUUAUUACCAAUCUUCUAACCAAUCAUAUUGUUCUCUUUGCCUCAGUUUUGUAAACAGUCAUGUGACCCUCCAUCCCAUGAUGCCAUCUGUGCUGUUCUGUUCUUUGUUCUGUACUUCCUAAAACCUCCCAAAGAGAAAUCCAUCUCUUCAUUGGCAGUCUGCCUCUGCUAAUAAAUGUUGUCUUACUCAUGAAA
Long non-coding RNA from Monodelphis domestica (gray short-tailed opossum), 487 nucleotides. RefSeq lists it as uncharacterized. NCBI's taxonomy places the organism in Eukaryota, Metazoa, Chordata, Mammalia, Didelphimorphia, Didelphidae. The record is from RefSeq and is a predicted model, not a curated record.